UACGGAGGAUGCAAGCGUUAUCCGGAAUUAUUGGGCGUAAAGCGUCCGUAGGUGGUUGAGUAAGUCAGUUGUUAAAGCGUGGAGCUUAACUCCAUAACGGCAGUUGAAACUACUCGGCUAGAGUGCGAUAGGGGCAAGGGGAAUUCCCAGUGUAGCGGUGAAAUGCGUAGAUAUUGGGAAGAACACCGGUGGCGAAAGCGCCUUGCUGGGUCUGCACUGACACUGAGGGACGAAAGCUAGGGGAGCGAAAGGG
This 253-nucleotide ribosomal RNA is filed under the name uncultured bacterium. RNAcentral describes it as "partial 16S ribosomal RNA". It matches the Rfam family "Bacterial small subunit ribosomal RNA", at positions 524 to 776 of the family's 1533-position model. The record is from RNAcentral.